RNAcentral lists this long non-coding RNA (279 nucleotides) under Mytilus galloprovincialis (Mediterranean mussel). The record is from RNAcentral. Lineage: Eukaryota; Metazoa; Mollusca; Bivalvia; Mytilida; Mytilidae.
CCCGACACAAUGGAUAAGCGUUAGUAUGUGAAAAAAAUAAAAUAAGAAAAAUAUCGAAGUCCAACGAAAACUUAAAUUAGAAAGUCUCUUAUCAAACGGCACUAUUAAAAGCUCAAACACACCAAACGAAUGGAAACCAACUGUCAUAUUCCUGACUUGGUAUUGUCAUUUCCAUAUGUAGAAAUUGGGGGAUUCAACCUUGUUUUCUAACAAUUUUAACCUCUCAAUGGUAUGACAAUCGCACACACAAAAUAGAGUUUAUUGACAACAAGUUCCAUG